AAUGGUCAACACAGCUGUGUCAUCCAGAAUCCACCAGUGUCAACCAACUCAAAAGCUGGUUGAGCACUGAGUUCUAUAAAGUUGACAAUAUGUGUAAGGGUGGUCUUCAAGCAGAACCCAGAAGAUUUGCCUGGUUGUCCUCAUGCAAGCAUGCUCAGUGACUUACCUUGUUCCAAGUCAGCCGUGUCAAGAUUUGAACAGGAAUAAAGGGGGAUAAUGGGUCAGAUGUAAUUAAGAGCAAUGGUGUGUCUCAUGCUUGGCUCCCUGGGAGGAGAGUCCAUUCACUGGAGCUGCACUGAUCUGUGAGAUGUGGUUAAACAUCUGCUGGGACUGAGGCUGGGACCAUCAGUCACUUGUCUGCUCUUCUUUGAAUGCAGACUCAUGAGGUAAGGAGCUGGUAAACUCAUUGUUUUGCUAAGAUAUAUGAAAACAAAUAAUUGAAUUUAGGUUUGUUUCA
Long non-coding RNA from Neopsephotus bourkii (Bourke's parrot), 457 nucleotides. RefSeq lists it as uncharacterized. The record is from RefSeq and is a predicted model, not a curated record. The transcript has 3 exons. NCBI's taxonomy places the organism in Eukaryota, Metazoa, Chordata, Aves, Psittaciformes, Psittacidae.